Molecule: ribosomal RNA, 403 nt
Filed under: bacterium
Lineage: Bacteria
Description: partial 16S ribosomal RNA
Rfam family: Bacterial small subunit ribosomal RNA
Source: RNAcentral
UGGGGAAUAUUGCACAAUGGGGGAAACCCUGAUGCAGCGACGCCGCGUGAACGAAGAAGGUAUUCGUAUCGUAAAGUUCUGUCCUAUGGGAAGAUAAUGACAGUACCAUAGAAGAAGGCUCCGGCUAAAUACGUGCCAGCAGCCGCGGUAAUACGUAUGGAGCGAGCGUUGUCCGGAAUUAUUGGGCGUAAAGGGUACGCAGGCGGUUUAAUAAGUCGAAUGUUAAAGAUCGGGGCUCAACCCCGUAAAGCAUUGGAAACUGAUAAACUUGAGUAGUGGAGAGGAAAGUGGAAUUCCUAGUGUAGUGGUGAAAUACGUAGAUAUUAGGAGGAAUACCAGUAGCGAAGGCGACUUUCUGGACACAAACUGACGCUGAGGUACGAAAGCGUGGGGAGCAAACAGG